GAGUAUAUAGCUCAGUGGUAGAGUGUGUGCUUAGCAUGCACAAGGUCCAGAGUUCAAUCCCCAGUACCUCCA
This 72-nucleotide transfer RNA is filed under the name Camelus bactrianus (Bactrian camel). It matches the Rfam family "tRNA". From Rfam's summary of the family: Transfer RNA (tRNA) molecules are approximately 80 nucleotides in length. Their secondary structure includes four short double-helical elements and three loops (D, anti-codon, and T loops). Further hydrogen bonds mediate the characteristic L-shaped molecular structure. tRNAs have two regions of fundamental functional importance: the anti-codon, which is responsible for specific mRNA codon recognition, and the 3' end, to which the tRNAs corresponding amino acid is attached (by aminoacyl-tRNA synthetases). tRNAs cope with the degeneracy of the genetic code in two manners: having more than one tRNA (with a specific anti-codon) for a particular amino acid; and 'wobble' base-pairing, i.e. permitting non-standard base-pairing at the 3rd anti-codon position. RNAcentral also lists the same sequence under 2 other names. The record is from Rfam by way of RNAcentral. Lineage: Eukaryota; Metazoa; Chordata; Mammalia; Artiodactyla; Camelidae.